This 2153-nucleotide ribosomal RNA is filed under the name human gut metagenome. Its description in RNAcentral is "bacterial LSU rRNA". It matches the Rfam family "Bacterial large subunit ribosomal RNA", at positions 183 to 2431 of the family's 2925-position model. The record is from RNAcentral.
ACCGUCUGAACUGAAACAUCUAAGUAGGACGAGGAAAAGAAAUCAACCGAGAUUCCGUAAGUAGUGGCGAGCGAACACGGAAGAGGCCAAACCGAAGGUAGCAAUAUCUUCGGGGUACGGACAGUAAACGGCAUUGCGGUAUCUUAGCAGAAGUGCAUGGGACGGCACACCAUAGAGAGUGAUAGUCUCGUAAGCGAAAAGAGAAGGCAGCCAACUGUAUCCAGAGUACCGCCGGACACGUGAAACCCGGUGGGAACAUGGGGGGACCAUCCUCCAAGCCUAAAUACUCCCUGGUGACCGAUAGAGAACAGUACUGUGAAGGAAAGGUGAAAAGAACCCCGGGAGGGGAGUGAAAAGAACCUGAAACCUUAUGCUUACAAGCACCGAGAGCCCAUCAAAGGGUGAUCGGGUACCUUUUGUAGAAUGGUCCGGCGAGUGAAUGUAACUGGCAAGGUUAAGCACUUAAGGUGUGGAGCCGAAGCGAAAGCAAGUCUUAAUAGGGCGUCAAGUCAGUUGUAUUCGACCCGAAACCGUGUGACCUAGCCAUGAGCAGGCUGAAGUGGAGGUAAAACUCCAUGGAGGGCCGAACCCACUCCCGUUGAAAUGGUAGGGGAUGACUUGUGGCUAGCGGAGAAAUUCCAAUCGAACUCGGAGAUAGCUGGUUCUCUCCGAAAUAGCUUUAGGGCUAGCCUCGAUUUAACAUUACCGGAGGUAAAGCACUGAAUGGGCUAGGGGCCGAGAGGUUACUGAACCCUAUCAAACUAAGAAUGCCGGAUAAUGAUAAUCGGGAGUCAGACAGUGUGAGAUAAGUUUCAUUGUCAAAAGGGAAACAGCCCAGACCCACAGCUAAGGUCCCAAAGUACAGUUAAGUGGUGAAGGAUGUGGAAUUGCAUAGACAACCAGGAUGUUGGCUUAGAAGCAGCCACUCAUUAAAAGAGUGCGUAAUAGCUCACUGGUCGAGUGAUUCUGCGCCGAAAAUUUAACGGGGCUAAAUUGUACACCGAAGCUUGGGAUACAUCUAAUGUAUGGUAGGAGAGCGUUGUAUACGGGGUGAAGUCAGAGCGGAAGCGCUGGUGGACUGUAUACAAGUGAGAAUGCCGGAAUGAGUAGCGAGAAUUAUGUGAGAAUCAUAAUGGCCGAAAGACUAAGGUUUUAGAAGGAAGGUUCGUCCGCUUCUAGUCAGCCGGGAGCUAAGGCGAGGCCGAAAGGCGUAGUCGAUGCACAUACGGUGGAGAUUCCGUAGCCGCCAUUAAUUUAAACAGAGGGACACUUUCAAGGGGCAUGACCCGGGCGUUGGUAGACCCGGGCGUAAGGGACCGAAGAUUAGUAGGGAAGCAUGCUUUAAGGAAGGCGAGAAAAGCUCUGUGUAUAGAAGAUGGCGCCCGUACCGCAAACCGACACAGGUAGUCAGGAAGAGAAUUCUAAGGCCAACGGGAGAAGGGUAGUUAAGGAACUCGGCAAAUUGACCCCGUAACUUCGGAAUAAGGGGUGCUCACGAGAGUGAGCCGCAGUGAAUAGGUCCAGGCGACUGUUUAUCAAAAACACAGCUCUCUGCUAAAUCGAAAGAUGACGUAUAGGGGGUGACACCUGCCCGGUGCUGGAAGGUUAAGAGGAAGGGUGCAAGCUCUGAAUUGAAGCCCCAGUAAACGGCGGCCGUAACUAUAACGGUCCUAAGGUAGCGAAAUUCCUUGUCGGGUAAGUUCCGACCCGCACGAAUGGUGUAACGAUCUGGACACUGUCUCAACUACCCACCCGGCGAAAUUGUAGUACCGGUGAAGAUGCCGGUUACCCGCGGCAAGACGGAAAGACCCCAUGGAGCUUUACUGUAACCUGAUAUUGGGUUUCGGUAUUUUAUGUACAGGAUAGGUGGGAGACUAUGAAACUAAGGCGCCAGCCUUAGCGGAGUCGCCCUUGGGAUACCACUCUUAAAGUACUGAAAUUCUAACCUGCGGCCGUGAAUCCGGUCGGGGGACAUUGUCAGGCGGGCAGUUUGACUGGGGCGGUCGCCUCCAAAAGAGUAACGGAGGCGCUCAAAGGUUCGCUCAGCAUGGUCGGAAACCAUGCCUUAGAGUGUAAACGCAAAAGCGAGCCUAACUGCGAGGCUGACGGGCCGAGCAGUAACGAAAGUUGGAGUUAGUGAUCCGGCGGUAUGU